This 1186-nucleotide long non-coding RNA is filed under the name Gallus gallus (chicken). RNAcentral describes it as "lncRNA (ENSGALG00010023951.1)". The record is from RNAcentral. Lineage: Eukaryota; Metazoa; Chordata; Aves; Galliformes; Phasianidae.
UCUCUCAUGGGAUGUAGGCAACUUCAGUGAAUUUCAGUAGGAAUUAUACUUUGCAACUGGAGAGCAGAGCCCAUGACUGGACUGAAGCCAACGUUCUUUAAAAGUUCACAUGCCUUGUACUGACUCUCUAAUUUAGGCUCCUUCUGACCAAGGAGAGAAAACUGGAAGAAAACUAAACAGUGGUUUUGUUUAAAGAUGGGGGGAGGGGGGGGAACUGUUACCACCACCAACAAAAAAGAACUGUGGGUCAGCAUAACAUCAUGUAAACUGUAUUUCAUUUGUGCUUUCAUCAGAAAUGAGUAAGUAGAGCUGUAUAUGCUGCGAAUUCUAAGAAUGUUAAUGGGAUGCCUGCAUUGCAUUGUACUUAAGAGUACUUACACUAGAAUAGGAAAGCCUUUUGUUCUGUAAUUCCUUGAGGCAAGAAGAAGGCUUUCUGAAUAGUUACUUUAAUUUUAAACUCUCGUUCUAAUGUUAGACAGCCUGUUGGAUCUCCAAGUUAAAAAUUGCUUCAGCUUUACUUACUAGAGCCAGAUGUAACAUUGACCUUAAAUGGUAAAAGCUCCCGAGAGUGAAAGAGAGGCUGGCCUGAGGGGAAAAAGGGGAAUAACUGAAGUUUUAGGUAAGUAAUCUCUAUAACCAAGAAUAAGCUCUCUUUCAGCUGUGGAAUAGAACAGAACCUUAUCUCCUCCUUAAAGAUGUUUUGAAGCACAGCCAGGAAGAAUAAAGAUUAUCCAGAGAGAGCAGCCCUCAUCUGCUUUCUGGCCAUUUGGAAAAGGCAGCUGUGGGUCAAGAAUCUGUUCCCUGAAAAUUUCCAUGCAUCUGAAGUAAUUUCUCCACUGAUGAUGACCCUUUAUUUUGUUCAUAUUUAAGGUCAGCAUGCAAGCUCUGAGGCUGAAGAAACUCUUGGAGUUCUAUAUCAAAGAUACUGCUCCUUUGCACCUGCUCUCUUAUGUGCCCUUCUAAAUUCCCUGUCAUAGGUUUAGCAUUUCCAUUAUAACACACUCAAAGUACUAGGCUCUUCCCCUGAAGACUACUCAGUGUGUCAAUACUGCUUCUGUCAGUUAAAUAAUGUGUGUCAUUCUUUUUCCUCCUGCUUUGACAGGUUUUAAGUAACAUCAGGUAAAUCAGCAGCAGUAAACAGAUGCUCAUAAAACAAAAGGGAGAUUGUGAUCCUGUUUAAAAAAAA